AACUCACAUUGUACUUUGUCCAGUAGUGCACUUAAUCCCCAUGAAAGAAAGAAAUGAAUCACUGCAACAAGACUCUUGUCUUUCUAAUGACUCUUUCUCAAAUUAGAAUGAGUAAUUAUUAUAGGGAUAAAUAACUAUGAGUUUCUCAGAAUAGAUAAAUUUCCUCAAGUCAUGAGACAGCACUCACAGGAUUCCCCGAUCCCAAAUCCUGGAAACGCUAAGCUUCUGACACCCCCAUCCUUGCGUUCAGGAACUGAGACAUUUAAAUGGGCAUGAGUGGAAAAAUCCACAUUGGCUCACAGGAUAUGAAUACGGUUUCCUUACUUCAAGUGGCAUCUUAGUGGGAAUUGUGUUUUGCACACCAUUGAAGAGGCCAAGCCCCGGGAGAAAGCCUCUAACUUUCAAUAGUGGUGUAUAAAUAGAGUGGGGGAGUUAGAAGCGAACAAUUGCCUUGCUGCUUUCCCAGGCCAACCAUCAAGGGCGUCAGACUCCAGAACCAAUCCCAUGAGAAAUAUCACCAAUGUGUAUUGCCAUAGUGGUUUCCAUCUUAAAAGCUGGUAUUUACUGUUCAGUCAAGAGUGUACGGGAAUCAAAAAAAGAGUGAGUAUUGUUCAUCCUGAUAAAGCGAGUCCAAGACAAAUACCAACUUUUUGGAGAAAACGGAUACUCUAAAGCAAUUCAGAUGUCUUCAAGAGUAAAUUAAUUUAUCUUGCCUCUUUGUUGUUAUAUAAGUUCAUUUUCUCUCUUUCAAAAUUCAGGUGUUUCUAGUGUCUAGGAAAUGUCUUGACAAUUAGGCUAACGUCAAUAAACAGACUAACGUCAAAGAAAUUGUUUCCCCAAGCUCUGGUCAUGAUCCUUGAGCACAAAUGAAGAACCUAUCUAUUUGUCAUGCAUUGUUCUCUUUAAUCUUAGCUUGAUGAGAAGAAGCUGAGUUAGGUUUCUUGGCCGAGAUCUACCAUCUCCAAGAACUUGGGUCACUCUCUCCAAUCCAGUGUAUGUACAGAAAGUAGAAGGGCCUUAGGCAGUCCAGAAUUUAGCAAAACAUAAGACUGUCCAACUCUACAGCAGCAAAAUUACAGCUGAAAAUGGACAGGACUUCCCAUUAUGGUGCAGCAAAUUAAGGGUCCAACAAUGCUGCAGCUGUGGUGUAGGUCAGAGCUUCAGCUCAGAUUUGAUCCUUAGCCGAGGAACUUCAUGCUGUGGGUGUGGGGAAUAAAAGAAAAGAAAACAAAACAAAACAAAAUGGACCAAAACUUCUCCUCCAAUUAAGAACAUUAACAUUUAAAAAUAAAAUCAAUACCAGGAUGGGCCAGGAAUGUUUUAUGGGAGAUGCUCUCCCAGUAUCAUUGUGACCUCAAAAGAUUCUAGAUAAAGCACAAACAUUCUGAUUUCUCUCAGAAGUACAUUAUGGACCUGUCAUCCAUGAAUUGUAGCUGAUUAUUUUGGAAGUGAUUUAUAUUGUCUAAACUAUCUUCUGGGGAUAACAAAUAUCAUAUAUAGACACUACUCACUAUGUGAGACAUAUCAUUCUUGUUUGAGCUAAGUUUCUGUCUCUUGAAUUUUAUAGGUCAUUUUCCACAUUCUAUUAAAUCAGAUUUUAUGAACAAAUCUGAAUUAUUUUCCUCCAUAGUUUAGAUGAUUUUAGAGAUUUUAAAUAUCCCUUCUUGGCCUCUGCUUUUUCAAGCUAAAGAGUGUUUUUUUGUUUUGUUUUGUUUUGUUGUUUUUCAGCAGUUUCACCAGAAAUAUCAAGUAAACCUGUAAAAGUCAAAUUCUCUCAGAGGUAGGGCCCCAAUUUUUUUUUUUUUUAUGAAGAAAAUAUACAGAUCAUGUAUAGGUAAUCCUUGUGGGGAACAAGGAAUUAAUAGUCCAAAAAGAGAUAAAAAAUAUACUGCAUUGUUUCUGAGGACCAUCUCCAGGGAUCAUGCGUAUUUGACUCAGACACACUGGAGAGAUUUAUCAGUUUUACAAAAAAACCUCUGAAGUUUUCAGCCUCCCCUCUGGCUAACCCCACUUUUGUUGCAGGUAAAGACAGUAGUCACUGAGUGAUUAAACCGCAUCAGAACAUUUACUGUUUACAUACAUGAUAUUUUUUCCUCCUCAAUACACUAAAGACAUCCUCAAUACAAUAUGUAGAUCUGAGAAAUAGGUAGGAUUGUCUCCAUCUUACAAGCAACUGAGACUUAGAGAAAGGUUAAAAAACAUGCAGAUUGUCAAAUAGCUAGUGAGUUCCAACAAGACUAGGAUUCAAACCCAGGAGUGUCUUGAGUGUCCAGCUGAGUAGCUGGAAUGUUUCUAUCCCUGCCAUUGGAAGGAAUCUUAUUCCUUUAAGUUGAUCCUCCCUUUUUAAGAUACAGGUAUAUCCUAAUAAUCGUGGUUCCUUUACACCAGCUACAAAUUUCCAUUAUUUUAGUUAAAUCCAUAACCAUGGACAUAUAUCUACUUCAUCUCUCUCUCUGGCUUUUUUAUAUUUUGAAUGAGAUUAUAGCACAUGGACUAGCAUCCAUCCCACAUGAGUUGAUGUGAAUGGCAGCAAUGUUAUUAAUUAAAAAUGUCAGAUGCUACUAGUUUUCAAUUUGGAUGGUUGAAAUUAUAUAUAUGGCUAUUUCCAACUUGUAAAUGAAGUCUUUUAUCCCCAUGAAGCAUCUGAAAUGAGAGAAAUAAAUGUACUAUUGCUAAAUAUUUGGGGGAUUAUUUGGUAAGCCAGUGAAAACAGAAUCUUUCAUUUGUUUCACCAACGGUGGGAAGGUUUGCUUUUUAAUUUUCCUAUAUGGGUCCCCUGGGAAUGAGUGCACAUAACACUAAAUAAUAUUCCUUUCAUUCUUUUUUUCCAAAAACACUAUUAUUUCCACAUGGUGACAUCCAUUCCUCUUUUCCAAAAGGCCCCCAACAAACUCCCUAAACAGAUUCAAUAAAACUCAAAAACAUAAGAGAUGGUUUAUUUUAACUUCUGUCCCAAAGUCUAAAGCAAGACAACUUUUUAAUUGAGGCACAUGUUCAAGACUAUAGCUUAUGGAGUCCCUGUUUUGGCUCAAUGGUAAUGAACCCGACUAGCAUCCAGGAGAACGCAGGUUCGAUCCCUGGCCCUGCUCAGUGAUUUAAGGAUCUAGUGUUGCUAUGAGCUGUGGUAUAGAUCGAAGACACAGCUCGGACUCCACAUUACUGUGGCUGUGGCACAGGCCAGCAGCCUGCAGCUCUGAUUGGACCCCUAGCCUGGGAACUUCCAUAUGCUGGGGAUGAGGCCCUAAAAAAAAAUUUUUUUAAUUAAAAAAAAAGAGAUUGUAGCUUAUUUUCUCCAAAUUAAAAUAUUUUUAAGAAUAAAACAAAUUUAUUCACUUUGGGGGGACUUUGACUUUGAAAGGAUAAACUCAUCAGGACAUCUGGACCAAAAUUUCAAUUCAUCAUCCCUCUCCAUUGUGAGGGGGGCUUGGGGUACAAUAUGGCAGCUGGCUUUGGAGAAGAAAGCCAGGGCCUAAGUCAGAACUUCGAACUAUUAAACAUCAGCUAAAACAUCCAUGCUCUACAGUAAGCGUAACAUAAGGCAGUUUGCUAUGAAAUUAUUCAUCUUGUCGGACUUAUAGACUAUCCCAGUCAAAUAAGUUUAGUUUCCUUCUUCUUUCCUAUUGACAAGACACACUGCCAGGAACGAGGUAAACAGUUGAGUUUUCUUUCACACAGUGGCUUAUACCUUCACUGACACUGCCACUUUUUAUCCUAUGUCACCACAGGAAGCUAAUAUUUGGUAGGACACACUUUCAGAAACUAUUGGUCAUCAGAGGAAAGGGCUCAAGGUCUAACUCGGAUGGGGUUCAGGCUAAAUAUUUGUCUCUUAAACUUUAUAGUUGUCACUUGGACAAAUCAUCAGACCUCAUCUAGAAAGUGCAGGAUGGGAAUAAUCCUUAUUCUCUCCCUUUCUCGGAGACAGAUGAGGGGAAGUCAAAUAAGGGGUGUGAAAGCAUCUCUUUAGUAGUAAACUUGCAUGUAGUUAUUAUUUUCAUUAUUUUUUAAAGAAAAAUUAGGUGACUUUUUUAUUGCAGCAUAAUGGGUUCAUAAGUCAAUGCUUGAGCUAGCAGCUCUGAGAGGGCUCCUCGGACAUCCAAUUUUACAGCCUUGAAAAAGGAUCUCAAGUGACUUUUGGAUGUGGUCUUUGUGUUUCUUAUAAUGUGCCUGAGACAGAAUGGCCACAUGUUUGUUUUUGACCUAGUACAUUAGUGAGCCCAGAUUCAGAACCACCAGAAACACAGGAGGUACUAUAUAUACUAUCUCUAUCCAUUAGCUAAAAU
This 4280-nucleotide long non-coding RNA is filed under the name Sus scrofa (pig). RNAcentral describes it as "lncRNA (ENSSSCG00000056148.1)". The record is from RNAcentral. Lineage: Eukaryota; Metazoa; Chordata; Mammalia; Artiodactyla; Suidae.